AACGAACGCUGGCGGCAUGCCUAACACAUGCAAGUCGAACGAGACCUUCGGGUCUAGUGGCGCACGGGUGCGUAACGCGUGGGAACCUGCCCUUAGGUUCGGAAUAACUCCCCGAAAGGGGUGCUAAUACAGGAUAAUGUCCUCGGACCAAAGAUUUAUCGCCUUUGGAUGGGCCCGCGUUGGAUUAGCUAGUUGGUAGGGUAAAAGCCUACCAAGGCGACGAUCCAUAGCUGGUCUGAGAGGAUGAUCAGCCACACUGGGACUGGGACACGGCCCAGACUCCUACGGGAGGCAGCAGUGGGGAAUAUUGGACACUGGGCGAAAGCCUGAUCCAGCAAUGCCGCGUGAGUGAUGAAGGCCUUAGGGUUGUAAAGCUCUUUUACCCGGGAUGAUAAUGACAGUACCGGGAGAAUAAGCUCCGGCUAACUCCGU
RNAcentral lists this ribosomal RNA (432 nucleotides) under uncultured bacterium. RNAcentral describes it as "partial 16S ribosomal RNA". It matches the Rfam family "Bacterial small subunit ribosomal RNA", at positions 29 to 506 of the family's 1533-position model. The record is from RNAcentral.